AAUCAACGCUGGCGGCGUGCCUAACACAUGCAAGUCGCACGAGAAGGGGAGCAAUCCCUGAGUAAAGUGGCGCACGGGUGAGUAACACGUGAAUAAUCUACCUCCGAGUGGGGAAUAACUGAGAGAAAUCUUAGCUAAUACCGCAUAACACUUACGAGUCAAAGCAGCAAUGCGCUUGGAGAGGAGUUCGCGGCCGAUUAGUUAGUUGGCGGGGUAAUGGCCCACCAAGACGAUGAUCGGUAUCCGGCCUGAGAGGGCGCACGGACACACUGGGAACUGAAACACGGUCCAGACUCCUACGGGAGGCAGCAGUGGGGAAUUUUGCGCAAGUGGGGGAAACCCUGACGCAGCAACGCCGCGUGGAGGAUGAAGUAUCUUGGUACGUAAACUCCUUUUCGAUUGGGAAGAUAAUGACGGUACCAAUAGAAGAAG
RNAcentral lists this ribosomal RNA (432 nucleotides) under uncultured bacterium. RNAcentral's name for it is "bacterial SSU rRNA". It matches the Rfam family "Bacterial small subunit ribosomal RNA", at positions 32 to 490 of the family's 1533-position model. The record is from RNAcentral.